Molecule: long non-coding RNA, 757 nt
Organism: Anthonomus grandis grandis
Lineage: Eukaryota; Metazoa; Arthropoda; Insecta; Coleoptera; Curculionidae
Exons: 4
Source: RefSeq, a predicted model, not a curated record
CCUUAGUUCUGCUCGGAUCCUGUUAUAACCCGGUGUUUUCGUAAUCUAGGUGAUCCAAAUAAGACGCUGGUAUACUUAGUUUGAUUUAGAAAAAAAUCAAUUUUUGGUGAAAAAUUCGAUACGGGGGGGUAUACCCGAAAAAUGAAAAAACCCAAACUUUGAAGGUCGAUAUCUCGGCUUCUAUGGGAGCUAUCGGAAAAAUUCCAACGGUUUUGUCUUAGUUUCGUCAUUCUAAAUCCAACGAGACCAUCCGCAAGGUCGUAGCUCUUACGAUAGCCGAGAUAUGGCAUUUUUGAUGCCCAUUUUUGGCCUCAAAAACGGACGUCGAAAACGACUUUUUCAGGAUUUUCAAAGUGCUCUCAUUCCCUUAGUUCUGCUCGGAUCCUGUUAUAACCCGGUGUUUUCGUAAUCUAGGUGAUCCAAAUAAGACGCUGGUAUACUUAGUUUGAUUUCGAAAAAAAUCAAUUUUUGGUGAAAAAUUCGAUACGGGGGGGUAUACCCGAAAAAUGAAAAAACCCAAACUUUGAAGGUCGAUAUCUCGGCUUCUAUGGGAGCUAUCGGAAAAAUUCCAACGGUUUUGUCUUAGUUUCGUCAUUCUAAAUCCAACGAGACCAUCCGCAAGGUCGUAGCUCUUACGAUAGCCGAGAUAUGGCAUUUUUGAUGCCCAUUUUUGGCCUCAAAAACGGACGUCGAAAACGACUUUUUCAGGAUUUUCAAAGUGCUCUCAUUCCCUUAGUUCUGCUCGGAUCCUGUUAUA